UAUAAUAUAUCUUACAUUUUGCCCCACUGUGACCGUUGAUAACUCAUUUCACGUGUCUAGAUAGUAUUACGAGAGCCUCAUACAGGGCUUCAAGCUCCACUUACACUCGCCUCAAACAUCGUUCUGAGAUAUUGGUUUAUUUUUUUUACUGGUACUCGUAAAAAAGUCAGUCACAGUAGCUGUCGCUGUCGCUGUACUUGGUCAAGUCAUCAGAAAACGACGAUGUCGCUGUCCAAUAUGGCAUGCUUGAUUCCACACAGGUCUCACCAGUUAACUUCGCUCCACUGAUGCGCUUUUUUUCAAUUUGUCACGAGACAGAGAGUGUUGGAGUGACGGGAAAAGAGAGCGGGCUGGAGAGCGACCCACUUAAUUAAGUAUUUAUGAAAUUCAUAGAAAAAAUUAUAAUCUUUACUUUCGCUUGCAUGUGAAUGGACAAUCUAAUUAUGCAUUAAAUGACCAUUACUUUGGGGUUACGAAAACAA
Drosophila serrata is the source of this 482-nucleotide long non-coding RNA. RefSeq lists it as uncharacterized. The record is from RefSeq and is a predicted model, not a curated record. Lineage: Eukaryota; Metazoa; Arthropoda; Insecta; Diptera; Drosophilidae.